Molecule: ribosomal RNA, 413 nt
Filed under: uncultured bacterium
Lineage: Bacteria
Description: bacterial SSU rRNA
Rfam family: Bacterial small subunit ribosomal RNA
Source: RNAcentral
GGGCCCGCACAAGCGGUGGAGCAUGUGGUUUAAUUCGAUGAUACGCGAGGAACCUUACCAGGGCUUAAAUGUAGUGGGACAGGUCUAGAGAUAGACCCUUCUUCGGACUCAUUACAAGGUGCUGCAUGGUUGUCGUCAGCUCGUGCCGUGAGGUGUCAGGUUAAGUCCUAUAACGAGCGCAACCCCUAUCGUUAGUUGCCAGCGAGUAAUGUCGGGAACUCUAACGAAACUGCCAGUGCAAACUGUGAGGAAGGUGGGGAUGACGUCAAAUCAUCACGGCCCUUACGUCCUGGGCUACACACGUGCUACAAUGGCCGGUACAGAGAGCAGCCACUUCGCAAGAAGGAGCGAAUCCUUAAACUCUAUCUCAGUUCGGAUCGGAGUCUGCAACUCGACUCCGUGAAGCUGGAAUC